This is an RNA transcript of Carya illinoinensis, 3384 nucleotides long. It is a transcript of the gene named stress response protein nst1-like, with no coding region annotated. The record is from RefSeq and is a predicted model, not a curated record. The transcript is spliced from 5 exons. NCBI's taxonomy places the organism in Eukaryota, Viridiplantae, Streptophyta, Magnoliopsida, Fagales, Juglandaceae.
UCUUUUCACCUUCUGUCUCUCUCUCUCUCUCUUCUCACAGUUUCGUCUUUGGUAAAGGAGCGAACGAGCCGCGCCACCGAUUCGACCCGAUAGGCAAGAAAACAAUACCGGGAUAUCACCGGCACCGAAUCUUCUCUUGCAAGCUUGGCUCUCAUUAUAUUCGCAAUGGACUCCCACUCUGGUUCUUCAAGUCUCGGAAAUUUAUUAUCUCUUGGUAUUUGAUUUCUUUGAGGAAAUAGGGUUAGGGUUUUCCGUUUUAAAGCAUUGCUGCGACGGCGAUUGGAUAUUUUUCCUUGAUUUUAGACUUUGUGGGUUCGAUUCGAGACGGGAAGAUAGGCGUGCGUAGAGGAUAAUGUGUAUACUCUGUGUGAUUCAGAAGUGGUCUCGCCGGGUUGCUACGAUGCUGCCUUGGUUAGUUAUUCCACUCAUAGGACUUUGGGCUCUCUCCCAACUUUUACCGCCUGCAUUUCGGUUUGAGAUUACAUCGCCCAGGCUGGCCUGUGUGUUUGUGCUUUUGGUUACUCUCUUUUGGUAUGAGAUUUUGAUGCCUCAGCUGUCAGCCUGGCGUGUUCGCAGGAAUGCACAGCUCAGGGAGAGGAAGAGGUUUGAAGCAAUAGAAUUGCAGAAGCUUCGGAAAACUGCGACAAGGCGGUGCAGGAACUGCUUGACUCCCUAUAGGGAACAGAAUCCUGGUGGUGGUCGGUUUAUGUGUUCAUAUUGCGGUCAUAUUUCGAAGCGGCCGGUUUUGGACUUGCCCAUACCGCCUGGUAUGGGAAACAAUGGGAUUAUUAAGGAUUUGGUUGGAAAAAGUGGGAAGAUAUUUAAUGGAAAGGCAUGGUCCGAAAAUGGAUGGACGUGCAGUCAGGAUUGGUUGGAGAAUGGCAAUUGGGUCAGUGGAUCUGUUUCAGCAAAGUCUAGUUAUUGGAUGAAGAAUGGGAGUGGUAUGUUUGGCGGAGAUGAGCAUUGUUUGGCUGAGAAGUCUUACUCGGGAGUUGUUAUGUUUGCAUGCAAGCUGUUGACAUCUUUUUUCUUCACCAUUAGGUGGCUUUGGAGAAAGAUUUUUAGGAUUAGUUCAAGUGAAGAUAAUUUGACUGAUGCUGAGCAUCGGGCUAUGUUGGCUAAGAAAGGCGAGAAUGGGGAAAGCUUUCAUGAAAGUAGAGGAGAGAAAGCACGCAGAAAAGCUGAAGAGAAGAGACAGGCUAGGUUAGAGAAGGAGCUUUUGGAGGAGGAAGAGCGAAAGCAGAGGGAAGAGGUCGCAAGACUAGUGGAGGAACGUAGGAGAUUGAGGGAUGAGAAAAUGGAAGCUGAGAAAAAAACAUCACCAACUGUCAGGGAAAAGGAUAGUAAGAAGGAAGCUGAAAAGAAGCGUCAGGAGAGAAGGAAAGAGAAGGACAAAGCGUCUAGUAAGAGCAAUUCUGAUGCAGAAGAGCUGGAAAAAAGAGCAGGUAAGGAAAGUGAGCGAAAGCAAGAAUUGGAAAAGAAGAAUGAGAUUGGCCGGGAACAUCAGAAAUCUGGGACUGAAGGCAUUAGAGGCCCGAGUAUCGAAACUGGACAUGGGAUGAAAAAUUUAUCUGCAAACAGUGUUAGCCGGGGAAAUUAUGGAACUAGGUAUCUGGAUCGUAUGAGGGGUACGAUUUUUUCCCAUUCUAAAGCAUUUAGUGGCAGUAGCCUUUUUGGAAAGGGUGCUAAUAUUGCUAAUAGUCCUGCCCCAAUUACUACGGAAAGCAAGCCUAACAGUUCAGUUGAUCAUGUCCAUCAUUUUGCUAAUAAGAGAGAUUUAUUUCCACAUGAACAUGUAGCUGGAAAACCAAGUGCAAAUGGAGAUGACAAGAGCAUCAAUCGCGCUGUUUUCUCUGAACAACCUAGGACAACACCUAAGAAAUCAUGGCAACAAUUAUUUACUCGAUCAUCAUCUGCUCCUCCUUCGAAUACAAAUGUCAUAAGCAGACCAAAUACAAAGUUCCAGGCAGAAGUUCAGAGCCCACAGUUCAGCAGCCAAACAUCAUCGACCCAAUCAUAUGAUAAUCCUAUUAACUUUGGGCUGCCAUCACCAUUCACACUGCCUACCUAUCCAAAUGUAUCCACAAGCAAUGGUUUAGGUUUUUCACCAGCAAUCAAAUCAGUCUUUCCUCGCAUUGGAGAACCAUCCCGUGAAUUUAUGUAUGAAGAGCCAGAGCUUUUUGAAGACCCAUGUUAUGUUCCUGAUCCAGUAUCCUUGCUUGGGCCUGUUUCAGAGUCGCUUGAUAAUUUUCAUUUGGACCUGGGCACUGGAUUUUCAACAGACAUGGGAUUGGAAAGGCCUCGUGCUUUAAAGAAAGUAUCUGCUUCAUCUGAAGUCAACAAGCCAUCUCCAAUCGAGUCUCCAUUGUCUCGAGAAAAGCACAAUACUUCUAAUUGGUUACCAUGUACCUCUAGGGCCCAGGAUAAUUUACCUGUCACUGAUGCUACUACAAAUGAGACAGGAACAUGGCAAAUGUGGAAUACCUCUCCUCUUGGUCAGGAUGGUCUAGGUUUAGUCGGUGGGCCUGUGAGCUGGCUUUCACCCCCUGAAUGGAAUAGAGCAAACAAGGAAGAUUUAGUGCAUCCAUCUCAGAAAACUGGUGCUUCACUGUUUGCAAAUGAUGAUCAUGUCCUUUCUGGCACUCAUUCUCCUCAGAAUGUUUUUCUUGGUAAUGGGCAGAAUGGUGGGCCAUAUGGCCCUGUUACUGGUUCGAGUGAUAAUGAACCCUGGUUACAGAAAGCUUUCUUUCCUCCAUUGGCGGGAAGUGAAAACCAUUUUGCACUCAAGCCUCGAGAAGAAUUUACACAAAAUGAAAUGAUUUUUGGAAGUCCAAGCUCUGGAAGUAAACAUCCAUUAGACAUGUCUCCUGCUAAUUGUUGGUCCAAUUAGGUUUGUACCUUUGACGUGAUAUAGAGACCAAUAGAGGCUGUGGUGGGAUCCUGGGAAGGGGCACCACUAGAGGGAGAGGCGAGGGUUUUAAAAAUGGAGUGGCGAUGGCAGAGAUGGAAGCAAGCAAUUAAGAAAGGAAUGGAGUGUGCAGGGUUCAGGGGAAGUUGGUGCUAAGUCAUCCGUUGCAAGGCCCCCAAUUGGGGAUCUAUAUCCCACCCAAGAUGUACAAUCACUUUGGCGAUUUGAUUGAAAACAGGGACAGAAUAUGAGGGACUUAAAUACACCUGUUCUCUAGACGCAAAAAAUAGCCUCUUUUGGAGGAGAGUUGAGAAUAGUGGAUGCAAUGUAUCUUCCUGCUCUUCUUCUUUAUAAGGGAGAUUGAUGUUUACUUACCCUAGCAUGAUAGGAAUACACGUGGCAUGCAUGCAUUUAUGCGGCAAGUAACAUCUAGAUUGAAAGGAAAAAAAAAUCAUCAUUUCCUGAUUUCCGACUAA